Molecule: unclassified non-coding RNA, 39 nt
Filed under: Sorangium cellulosum So ce56
Lineage: Bacteria; Pseudomonadati; Myxococcota; Polyangiales; Polyangiaceae
Description: sce_s2m_61
Source: RNAcentral
UAGCGUGUACGAGAGAUGGCAGCCGAGCCACGCGGCGCC